This is a long non-coding RNA of Cynoglossus semilaevis (tongue sole), 1041 nucleotides long. RefSeq lists it as uncharacterized. The record is from RefSeq and is a predicted model, not a curated record. NCBI's taxonomy places the organism in Eukaryota, Metazoa, Chordata, Actinopteri, Pleuronectiformes, Cynoglossidae. The transcript is spliced from 4 exons.
AGAGAUCAUCGCCUUCUUUUGUUGAGACACUUUGUUGGAGCGAGGAGCUGCUCGGUCUACAAGCCAACGCAAACAUCGAGGCGUCAGAGAAGAUGGAGCUGACCACACUCUGGGAGCGGGUGUGGCCUGUGGAUGUCAUCUCAGAAACGCCGCUGUCUGAUUGGCUGGAGUGAUUGGACUGAGAUUCUGAGGAUGUAACGGAGACAGAGGUUCUGUUACAAAUGACUGAUAAAGUGACAGACCUGGAAGACUGGAGGAGCUGGAUCCUGACUUGAUAGAAGAAGAAGAGAGUGAUGACCAAUCAUAGGCCGCCUCUGUUCUCCUCAUGGCCUCCUGGUAGUUGAUAUCCUACAGUUCUUACCUUUGCGAUGCGAAUACUGUUGACCCACUGUUGGAGGUUCCUGACGUCAUCGCAGCACAGGUACUUGAUGUACUGGGACUUCUUCUGGAUCUGAGGGUGCUGCAGAUCCACAUACCAACACAUGAUCAAUAACAUACGGGACAUUGUACAACAGCUGCUACUGCUAUGACAUCAUCAUUUAUAAUGGAACUUCACAUCAACACAUUCAAAUAAACCACCGGGUGUUUCGGGUAGAACGGAGGGGGAAAUGGAGAUGUAAUCCACCCUUUACACCACUAGAUGACACUACAGGGUAACAAAGAAAAUUGUAACUUCACUGCAAAUAUUUCUUCACUCCUUCACUGAUUGUGUUUAAAGGCUGUCUGCUCACUCUGUUUGUCAAUACUUAAUGCAUUUUUAAAAAAAAAAUUACAGUCACUGAUGUGGUGGAGAGUCAAGUUUCUCUUUCUUAAAAAAUAACAAUAAAAGUAAUGGUUUUAUGGGGUAAUAACUUGUGGAUUUCUGCUUUACAUCACUGUAAAAAAUGCAGAGUUGACCAAUUAAAUGUGAUUACUUGAAAAGGUCUGUGUUUCUUUUAUAUUUUGAUUACAGCAUUAUUAAAAAAAUAAAAUUAUACUGUAAUGCUAAUUGUUUUUACAUUCAUAUUCACCCCCACCAUGGAAUACAGGGGUGGCCUUAAA